Long non-coding RNA from Stegostoma tigrinum, 9957 nucleotides. RefSeq lists it as uncharacterized. The record is from RefSeq and is a predicted model, not a curated record. Lineage: Eukaryota; Metazoa; Chordata; Chondrichthyes; Orectolobiformes; Stegostomatidae. The transcript is spliced from 3 exons.
CAAUCUUAACCGAAGCAACUGCGGAUGCUGUAAAUCAGGAGCAAAAACAGAAGUUGCUGGAAAACGUCAACAGGUCUGGCAGCAUCUGUGAAGAAAGAAAAAAAAAAUCAGAGUUAACGUUUCGUAUCCGGUGACCCUUCCUCAGUAGAGCAACGUUCCGGCUGGUGUUUGCACGCAGGCGCAGCGUCAUUUUGACUGACGCAUGCGGGAGAAUGCAGGUUUUGUCGGAGCCGGUAAUGAAACAAAGGAUGAGGACAUCACCAAAACAACGAAGGGUCCCAGUGAACUGCUACCGAUGUCGAAAUUUGGGGUCUCGGGGUUUAUGCUCCCAUCCCAGAGUGUGGUUUUGAAGUCCCAAUGGUAUUCUGGAUCACCAUACCUGGAGCCUGGAUGAAGACUUUGGACUGUGUGGGUUUUUAAGUUUGGGUUGUGUUAGCUGAUGUGCUAAGGCAUGUUUUGGCCGUUGAGAGACCGUAUCUGGAGUACUAUGUGCAGUUUUGGUCUCCUUUAUCUGAAGAAGGAUGUUCUGACCAUCAAGGCAAUGCUUACCAGACUGAGACCAAGUUGGACUGACAUAUGAAGAGACGUUGGAUUGAUUAGGAGAGUAUUCGCUGUAGUUUUGGGAAAUGAGGGUGGAUCUCAUGGAAAUGUGUAAAAUUCUAACAGGUCUCGACAUAGUAACAGGUAAGAACAAUAUUCCCACUGAUUAAAGAAUCUGGAAACAGGGUUUAUAGUCUAAGGAUACAGAAUAGGCCAUUUAGGACUGAGAUGAGGAAAAAUGCCUUUGCCAGAGGUUUUUUUUUCAUUCAUUCAUGGAAUGAGAAUGUCGCUGGCUCGGCAGCAUUUAUUGCUCAUCCCUAAUUGCCCAGAGGGCAGUUAAGAGUCAACCACCUUGUUGUGGCUGUGGAAUCACACAUAGUCCAGAACAACUAAGAAUGGCAGUUUCCUUCUCUAAAUGAUAUUAGUGAACCCAAUGGGUUUUUUCAACAAUCAACACUGGAUUCAUGGUCAUCAUUAAACCCCAAGUUCCAGGUAUUUAUUGAAUUCAAAUUCUGCCAUGUGACAUGGUGGGUUUUGAACCUAGGUCCCCAGAAUAUUAUUUGGGUCUGUGGAUUAAUAGUCCUGUCAUAAUGCCACUAGGCCAUCACCUCUGAGCCUGUGGUAUUCACUGCCACAGAAAGUGGUUGAGGCCAAACCAUCGAGUGUUUCCAAGAAGUAGUUUAAUCGAGUUCUUUGGAUUAAAGAGAGUAUAUGAUAUAGGGAGCCUGCUAGAUCAGAGGACUGAGUUUGAUAACCAACCAUGGUCAUAGUUAUUGGUAGCACAUGCUUGAGUGGGCAGUUGUAUUCUACUUUUGCUCCUCAUUCAUAUUUAUGUUCUUACAUAUGUUUAGGGGCCCAAGUGAGCAGGUCAGUAUGUAAAAGGGACCAUGGGAAAUGCGUUAGUAUUUAUGGUGGGUCCUGUGGAUUACAUCAGUAUUUACUGUGGGUCUCAGGGAGUGCAUCAGUCUUUACAGUGAGUCCCUGGGAGUGUGUCGGUCUUUAAUGGGAAUGUACAGAGUGUAGCGCCAGACUAGAUGAACUGAAGCUGUAUCUGUUUUUACAAGGGUCUCAGCUCGUGGUCGUGUGACAAAACUGUCACUUUCAAAAGGUUAUUUUGUAGUUUUUUUGAAGAUCGCUUGUCAAGGCAGAGGUGGUGAAAUGUCCUGGGGUUUUAGGAGGCCUUUGGGUUUUUUUUGUUUAAAACCAACAUAACAAUGGAAGAGGGGUGGCCAAUUCAGGCUUUCUAGUUCUACUUCAGCUGUAGCAGCCACAAGAUUUCGUGUGUCCAGAGGGGUUGCAAGCUUCAAUAAAUAAUUCCUAACUGGCUUUCUCGGAACUCUCUCUCUGGAUGUUGUUCCCUCCUGCCUUUAAGAAUCUGUGUUUGAAAUUACCUUUUUGCCAAGGGAUGUGACUAUAUUUGAACAGUCAAUUUGUAAUAGUCACUGUAUUGGCUAGGUUAGGUUUUCCAAUAUUUGUUAUUCAAAAUUCUUCUUCGUUCUACUCAUGUUUUAACUGUAGUGUUUAAAUAAAUUGUGUUUUGCUUCAAAACAAGUGCAUCAUACCUGGAACACCCAGUUGACAUCUGCCGAUGAAAUAAGAAAGUUAGGAUCUAAAGAUAACAGUGUGGAGCUGGAGGAACACAGCAGGUCAGGCAACAUCAGAGGAGCAGAAAAGUUGACAUUUCAGGUUGAGACCCUUCUGACUAUCUCAAAUUUUGGGUCUCGGCUCCUUUCUUAAAAUCUUGAGGAAAUUCUCGCCCGGCCCAUAACAGACAUAGCAGACAGUAAUUCUACAAUUCCACUUUGGGAUUGGGGUUAAUUGACUCAAAGGUGGUGAAUGGUAGUUGUUAGUGUCGUUUGUUUUGGGUGUUGCAUUCCCUUGGUUUAAACAGGGAGUGCCUUGUGUAGGAAUGGUGCUUUCAGCCAUCACUCAGUUUCCUGGGGGUGGAAGCAGUGACUUUGGGGUUUUUACAAAAAGUGACCAAGGCAAACCUAUUGGAAUUGGCAGACCAGCUGGAGUUGGGGUUACCCUCCUCUGUGAGGAAAGGAGAGGGACUGACAACGCCCCUUGGAAAUGGCUAAGAUUCAGUUGCAGAUGAAGCAGCUUGGACAGGAAAAGGAACUCAAACAGCCUGGAUUCUGGUUAAAAGCAGAGGAAAGAUAAGAAUCGCCCCCGCAGCUAAUGUGGAUAGUCAGAAUCACUUUUUCUAGUGCAAAAAUACUUGGGUGCCCAGGAUGGAGAAAAUUUUGAAUGAGAUUUGUGAGGCGCAUUAAACAAGUUUUUGUGUAGGAUUGAGACAAAUGCAAUAAACAGGCAGAUGGUAUUAUUUUAGAAUAACAUUGUGGUAGGCAUAGCCAUGGUAGGCCAAAGGGCCUGGUGCUGAGCUUUACAGUUUUUUGUUUAAACCCUGCUGAAAAAAGCACAGAGAAUCUUAGAUAUUUCAUUAUUUAUCCCUCAUUCUUCUAAACGACAAUGAGACAGGCUCAGACUACUUAACCUCUCCUCAUUGGAAAAUCUCUCCAUUCCCAAGAUCAGCCCAGUGAACCUUCUCUGGCCUGUUGCUCAUUCAAGGAUAUCUUUCCAAAGGGCUGUCAUACUGUUCAUAAUAUUCUUGGUAUAGUCUGACUCAACUUAUUUAUUUUAGCAAGGACUCCCUGUUUUUAAACUUCAUUUCCUUUUUAAUAAUUGUCAGAAUUUGAUUUGCCUUCUCUAUUACCUGCUGAACUUGUAAGUUCCCUUUUUCAGAUUGAUACUCAAGAUUCCCAAAACCCUUCGUGCAGUCAGUCUGAAACCGAACAGUGUUAGCCUGACAGCAAGUUAGAAAUGUGCUGGACUGUAUUACAAAGGAUAUGACCAGAAACAAUGGUUGCACCCUUCAAAACAACAGAAGAUGCAUGAGUUUAUGAAAAGGAAUUUUUUUUCAUGAUCCUGUUCGAUUUCAUUUUUUUUUGACGUGGCUUUCAAUUGCAGAAUAAAUAAGGUGAAGGAGGGGAUUGGCAUUAGGGGGAUAUGGUUAAUUUGUAUUUUCAAAAUCAUUUUGACGAGUUUGAACAGGGACUGGAGAGUAUCUAGGAGUGAAUAGGGCCUCUUAAAGAUCAACAAAGCCAUUAUAUGUGGGACAACUAGAGAUGGAUGCAAUCCUAAACAAGUAUUUCCCUUCAGUAUUUACUGUGGAGAAAAACAUAGCACCUCAGGAACUUGGUGAAAUAAACAGUGGAGACUAGAAAAGAGUCCACAAUUGAAAGCAUGAGGUGCCGGGAGUCUUAAAAUGCACAAAGGCAUGUAAAUCCUCAGGCCUUGAACAGGUUUAUCCCGGGACAUUGUGGAAGGCUAGGUAAGAAAUUGUGAGAUGCUGUAGCAGAGAUAUUUUAUCAUCAACAGCCACGAUGAGAUGCCAGAAGACUGGAGAGUGGCUAAUGUUGUUACAUCACUUCAGGGCUGCAAGGCAAAGCCUGGAAACUACAACCCAGUGACACUGACAGUGGUGGGUAUGUCGUUGGAGGAGAUCCUGAGAGACUGGAUCUUUAUGCAUUUGGAAAGGCAAGGAUUGAUUAGGUCUAGUCAGCGUGGCUUUGUGUGUGGAAAAUCGUGGCUCAGAAAGUUGAUUUUGUUUUGAGAGAGUAGCCAUAAGGCAGAGUGGUACAUGGCUCUCAGCAAGGUUAGAUCGCACAGGCUCCUGUGAAAGCUUGCAAGUUGUGUACAAGAUGGGCUUGACAGAGUGCUGGCAGAGGUUUGUUGUUAUUACUGGAGGCCUGUACAUGUGCUGCCAGGUUCGGUUAUGUUGUGUGUCAUUUAUAUUGAUGGUUUGAAUGAGAGUAUAGGAGUCAUGGUUAGUAAGUUUGUGGGUGACAGUAAAAUUAGUGGUAUACUGGACAGUGAAGGAGGUUAUCUAAGAAUUCAAUGAGAUCUUGAUCUAUCCGGUUGAUGGGAUGAGGAACUGCAGAUGGAGGUUAAGGUGGAUAAAUGUGAAUUAUUGAAUCUUGGAAAGACAAACCAGGGCAGAACACAAACAGCUAGUGUUCAGGCCCUGGAUGGUGUUGUCAAACAGAGAGACUUGGGGGUGCAGAUACAUAGUUCCCUGAAAGUGACAUCACAGGUAGAUGGGGUGAUGAAUGUGACAUUUGGCAUGGCUUGCCUUCAUUGGUUAGAGCAUUUGGAAUAAGAGAUUGGGAUGUCAGGCUGUGGCUGUUCAGGACAUUGAGGCCACCAAAAAAGCAUUCUUAAUUAUCAGGAAAAACUUAACUGGUUCACUUGUGUCCUUCGGGGAAGGACAUCCGACAUUCUUAGCUGCUCCAGCCGAUGUGAUUUCAGACCCCAGCAAUAUAGUUGACUCUGAGCCGUGCUCUGGCAAUUAGUGAUGGGCAAUGAUUGAUCGACCAGCUGGUGACAUCCUCAUGCCAUGAAUGAAUAAAUAAAAGUACAUAUUUCCCUCCCUACCUCUACGGACACCUCCGGCUCAGCAAUUCCUCCUGGAUUUGUAACAUCGUUCAGGCCCUUGCCACUUUCCGUAACACACUCAUCACCUCCAGCACCUUCAACUUACCCUGUUCCUAUCAUCUCAAUAAAUCCCAACAAUGUUUCCUGUUCCUACUGCAUUCCUCUGCUAGGAAAUCCCUUGCAAUCCCUUUCAUACCUAUGUCCAUACUUUGGUAGCCCUCUUUUGCUAAAGAGUCUCUUUCUUCUGAUUUGAUCUGAUUUUUAUUUUUGUGUGGUUUUCUAAGGUUCUUUCAAUUGAAUAUAUUCCUUUACACCCUGAGUAAGACUCAGGUAGGAAUUUCUUGCUGAGCUUUUGGCAAUAGAAUGCCCUUUUUGUUGGAUAUUUUACAGUGUUCGUUCAAACGUUUUCCACUAUUGAUUUACAGCCAUACAUUUCAGUCAGUUUACCCUGUUUACACUGGUCAGUUCUCCUCUCAAUGUCAUACCGUUGGCUUUGUUUCUAUGUCUAAUUGUUGCUUGUUUUUUGUAUGGUUACAUUAAAACUUCAUAAUCCCUUUGAAUUCAGCUUUUUCAUUAAUUCCCUUCAGAUCUCUGUGUGACAUGACUCAUUCACUCCGCUUCAUCACACAACAGUCAAGCUGGGAUAGUUACAUCCCUAGCCAGUUGCGCAACAUGUUAUUCAAAGAAAUACUGACAAAAAUGUUCUCCGAGCUCCUCUUCAGAUGCCACUAUUUUAUUGCACAUACUUUGUCCAUUUCAUAAAGUAACAUUAUCAUGUACUUUAUACUACAAUUUCCUGUCCCAAACUGAUGUAUAGUUUAUGAAACUCUGUGCUUCCUGUCCCUCUCUGCUUGUCUUCAGCCACAUCACCAUGCUGUUCCGAUCACAUUUUCUGUUUGGAUUUGAACAUCUCCUUUCCCCUGAACCCUGUCCCAGCAUCCUCUCGGUCAGUUUAAAGCCCUGUCCAUAAACCUACUGACAUGAUUUCCCAGGACACUGGUCCCAGCAUGGUUCCAGUUGUUAUUUAUUCACUCAUGAAAUGUGGGUGUCUCUGGUGGGCCAGCAUUUAUUGCCCACCCUGCGCUACCCUUGAACUGAAUGUCUUGUUGUGCCAUUUCACAGGGUAGUUGUGAGUCAACCACGUUCCUGUGGGUCUGAAGUCACAUGUAAGCCUGACCAAGUGAAGAUGGCAGAUUUUCUCCCCUAAUUACUGAGUCUGAGUCAGACUCAAGCAUGAGUCAUCAUGGGAGGCCUACUUUCAUCUUUGUGAUACUGUACCUUCCGAGACAGCAGAGGAAGUUCAUAUCCGUCCAGGCCUGUGCUGUCUUUGUGAGGAUCCGCACAACAGAUGUGAAAGCACAUCUCCCACGACAGGGCGGUAAUGCUGUCUCUGAUCUUGUUCUGCGUUUCCCCUCCAUGACUGUAUCUGUAUCAUGUCUUGUGGAUCAGUGUCUUCAAUCGUUCUCACUCCUAUUUCAGUCACCACCUCUCCUCUCUACAAUCCCUCCAUAAAUUUGAAACUUACUCUGAUCCUGACCACCAUUCCUGUCUCUGUAAAUUGCUUCAGUCUCUGCAAUAUGCCUUAUCUCAGCAGUCUCCUCCUCCAGUUACUGGAGUCAUAGAAUUGUGAAGCACGGAAAGAGACCCUUUGGCCCAACUCAUCCAUACUGACGGGGUUUCCCCGAACUGAACAAGUCACAUUUGCCUGCUUUUGGCCCGUAUCCUUCCAAACCUUUCCUGAUGGUAUACCUUCCCCAAUGUCUUUUCAUAGUUGUAAUUGUACCUAUCUUUCCUACUUCCUCUGACACCUCAUUCCAUAUUUGCACCAUUCUCUGUGUGGAAAAACAUUACCCCUCAGGUCUGUUUUAAAACUUUCCACUCUCACUUCAAGCCUAUGCUCUGUACUUUUGGAGUCCCCUACCCUGGGAGCAAAGACCUUGUCUAUUCACCUUUUAUAUGCUGCUCAGGCAUUCAUAAACCUCUAAAAGACCACUCCACAGCCCCCUGUGCUUGAAGGAAAUAUCUCUGCUUGGGGUGCCACAAAUUCAGCCCUGGUUUCCCAAACAUCCUCCGGUACAUUUGAUCAAGCUUUUCAAGACCUCCUACAGCACUUUUCUGUCAUGUGGACUUUUUUCAAGACAUCAUUCUUUAUUUCCCUGAAUUUGAGUCCUUCUCCACACUAAGUACUGAUGUGAAAUCUUGUUUAACAUCUCAAACAGCUUGCUUCUUCAAAUUUGUUCUGGGACCUCUGCUGUUUGUGAUCUUUAUGAAUGACUUGCAUGAGGAAGUGGAAGGGUGGGUUAGUAAGUUUGCUGAUGACACGAAGGUUGGUGGAGUUGUGGGCAGCGUUGUAGGUUGCGAUGAGAGAUUGACAGGAUGCAGAGUUGGGCAAAGAAUUAGCAGAUGGAAUUCAACCCAGAAAAGCACGAAGUGAUUCAUUUUAUAACUUCAAAUUUGUAUGCAGAAUACAGGCUUAAUGGCAGGAUUCUUGGCAGCGUGGAAGAACAGAGGGAUCUUGGGAUCCGUGCCCAUGGAUCCCUCAAAGUGGCUACCCAAGUUGAUAAGAUUGUAAAAGUGGCGUAUGGUGUGUUGACUUUCAUUAGCAGGGGAAUUGAGUUUGAGCAGUGACAUCAUGCUGCAGGUCUAUAAAUCUCUGGUUGGACCACACUUGGAAUAUGGUGUUCAGUUCUGGUCACCUCAUCAGAGGAAAGGUGUGGAAGCUUUAGAGAGUGUGCAGAGGAGAUUUACCAGGAUUCUGCCUGGACUGGAGGGCAGACAUCAUGAGGAAAGGUUGACUGAGCUAGGGCUUUUUUCAUUGGAGCAAAGAAGAAGAAUGUGAGGUGACUUGACAGAGGUGUGCAAGAUGAUGAGAGGCAAGAGAUGGAGUGGAAUAGUCACAGACUUUUUCCGAGGCAGAAAUGAUUAUUAUGAGGGGGCGUAAUUUUAAGGUGAUUGGAGGAAGGUAUAGGGGAGAUGUCAGAGGUAGAUUCUUCACACACUGUGGUUGGCUUCUGGAAUGCACUGCCAGCAAUGGUCGUGGAGUCAGAUACUUUAGAGACUUUUAACUGACUCUUGGAUAGACACAUGGAGGAUUGUAAAAUGUAAGAUAUGCAGGGUAGAUUGACCUUAGUAGGAUAACAGGUCGACACAACAUUGUUAUUUCACGUCCCAUUUUUGCCAUCUGGAUUUCCUUCAUAAAGUGUAUUCCUACACUCCCAUAUUCCUGAAGGGAUGCAUUGAUCCAGCUGUAUCCCCUCUUUCUUGAUCAGAUCCUCUCUAUCACCAGUCAUCCAGUGUUUUCUAUUUCUGUCAGCAUUGUCCAUCACACUAAUAAGAACAUGCUGACCCUGACCUCUCUAUCUUGCUUUUGAAAGCUUCCAACUUGUCAGAUGCCCCUUUACCUGCAAAUAGCUUGCCCAACCAUUUUUUUGAAAAUUCCUGUCAAAUACCAUCAAAAUUGGUCUAACUGCAAUUUAUAACUUUAGUUGUGGACCAGGCCAAUCAUUUUCCAGAGCGAUUUUCAAACUGAUAAAAUUGUGGUCGCUUGUCAAAGUGUUGCCCGAAUAACACAUUAGUCCCUUGCCGACCUUGUUUCGCACGUGGCUGUCAGGUUUUGUCCCUUCUCCUCUCGGUCCAUCUACGGACAGUUUUCUUGAACAAACUUAACAAAUUCCUCCCAUCAAAGCGCUUCACACUAUGGCAGUACCAGUCUAGGUUUGGAAAAUUAUAAUCCCAACCAUGACACCCUUUAUUAUUCUCACAGUUAUCUAAGAUCUCUCAGCAUAUUUAGAACAUAGAACAGUACAGCACAGAACAGGCCCUUCAGCCCACGAUGUCGUGCCGACCAUUGAUCCUCAUGUAUGCACCCUCAAAUUUCUCUGACCAUAUGCAUGUCCAGCAGUCUCUUAAAUGACCCCAAUGACCUUGCUUCCACAACUGCUGCUGGCAACGCAUUCCAUGCUCUCACAACUCUGUGUAAAGAACCCACCUCUGACAUCCCCUGUAUACUUUCCUCCAACCAGCUUAAAACUAUGACCCCUCGUGCGAGCCAUUGCUGCCCUGGGAAAUAGUCUCUGGCUAUCAACUCUAUCUCUGCCUCUCAUUGUCUUGUAUACCUCAAUUAGGUCCCCUCUCCUCCUCCUUUUCUCCAAUGAAAAGAGACCGAGCUCAGUCAACCUCUCUUCAUAAGAUAAGCCCUCCAGUCCAGGCAGCAUCCUGGUAAACCUCCUCUGAACCCUCUCCAAAGCAUCCACAUCUUUCCUAUAAUACGGCGACCAGAACUGGACGUAGUAUUCCAAGUGCAGUCUAACCAAGGUUUUAUAGAGCUGCAACAAGAUCUCACGACGCUUAAACUCAAUCCCCCUGUUAAUGAAAGCCAAAACACCAUAUGCUUUCUUAACAACCCUGUCCACUUGGGUGGCCAUUUUAAGGGAUCUAUGUAUCUGCACACCAAGAUCCCUCUGUUCCUCCACACUGCCAAGAAUCCUAUCCUUAAUCCUGUACUCAGCUUUCAAAUUCAACCUUCCAAAAUGCAUCACCUUGCAUUGAUCCAGGUUGAACUCCAUCUGCCACCUCUCAGCCCAUCUGUGCAUCCUGUCAAUUCUCUUAUUCCUCACAUAAGUGUAAAAUGCCUUGGUGUUUUCCCUAAUUCAUUCUGCCAAGCCUUUCUCAUGUCCCCUCCUGGCUCUCCUCAGACCAUUUUUGAGCUCCUUCCUUUCCUGAGUGUAAUCCUCUCUAGCUGAACUUGACCCUAGCUUCCUCCACCUUAUGUAAGCUACCUUCUUCCUUUUCACAAGAAGCUCCACCGCUCUCGUCAUCCAAGGUUCCUUUAUCUUACCCCUUUACUCAUCACUCGCAACAACUGUUCCUUAAACAGUCUCCACAUGUCUAUAGUUCCCUUACCAUGGAACAAUUGCUCCCAGUCCAUGCUUCCUAACUCGUGUCUAAUCGCGUCAUAGUUUCCUCUUCCCCAAUUAAAUA